This 272-nucleotide ribosomal RNA is filed under the name Escherichia coli. RNAcentral describes it as "partial 23S ribosomal RNA". It matches the Rfam family "Bacterial large subunit ribosomal RNA", at positions 1 to 264 of the family's 2925-position model. Lineage: Bacteria; Pseudomonadati; Pseudomonadota; Gammaproteobacteria; Enterobacterales; Enterobacteriaceae. The record is from RNAcentral.
GGGUUGUGAGGUUAAGCGACUAAGCGUACACGGUGGAUGCCCUGGCAGUCAGAGGCGAUGAAGGACGUGCUAAUCUGCGAUAAGCGUCGGUAAGGUGAUAUGAACCGUUAUAACCGACGAUUUCCGAAUGGGGAAACCCAGUGUGUUUCGACACACUAUCAUUAACUGAAUCCAUAGGUUAAUGAGGCGAACCGGGGGAACUGAAACAUCUAAGUACCCCGAGGAAAAGAAAUCAACCGAGAUUCCCCCAGUAGCGGCGAGCGAACGGGGAG